RNAcentral lists this ribosomal RNA (242 nucleotides) under uncultured bacterium. RNAcentral describes it as "partial 16S ribosomal RNA". It matches the Rfam family "Bacterial small subunit ribosomal RNA", at positions 102 to 334 of the family's 1533-position model. The record is from RNAcentral.
ACGGGUGAGUAACACGUGGAUAAUCUACCCAUAAGUUCGGGAUAACAGUUGGAAACGACUGCUAAUACCGGAUACGAUCCAAUUUUAUCAUUGGGUGAAAGGCGGCCUCUGCUUGCAAGCUGUCGCUGAUGGAUGAGUCCGCGUCUCAUUAGGUAGACGGUGGGGUAACGGCCUACCGUGCCGACGAUGAGUAGCCGGCCUGAGAGGGUAAUCGGCCACACUGGGACUGGAACACGGCCCAG